Molecule: transfer RNA, 74 nt
Filed under: Loxodonta africana (African savanna elephant)
Lineage: Eukaryota; Metazoa; Chordata; Mammalia; Proboscidea; Elephantidae
Rfam family: tRNA
About the family: Transfer RNA (tRNA) molecules are approximately 80 nucleotides in length.
Source: Rfam by way of RNAcentral
CCCUGGGUGGUGCAAACGGUUAACGCGCUCAGCUGCUAACUGAGAAGUUGUUGGUUUGAGUCCACUCAGAGGCA